CUGGAAGGAAAAAAGACGAUGCUAGACAUGGAUCUCAUCGCUGGAUGCAAUAACGAGGACGAUGAAAAAUCCUUCAAUCCUCACAGGAAUCAUUACUGGGAUGCUAUGAGAGACGCUUUUCCCACCACCCGCAGCAUAACAGCAGUGACAGGCCUAAAGAAAGGAAAUGAUGAAGACAUGCAUGCUUUCCUGAAAAGAAGUGAAGGCGUCUGGUUAGACAGCACUGGAGAAAGACAUGACAUCGCUCCAUCAUGUACCAUGUUGUGGAGACAUGCAGUGAUAAAGGCCCUAUCUACUCAUGUCCAAAACUGUCUGAAGAGUGUGGUGGGACUAGACUCAAUGCCUAAUGCACUUUGGAGAGAGCACCUUGUGCAUCAUGACGAGCAACACAGGCAGACAGAAGUGCAGAAGGAAGAAGAACAUCUGACAAUCACCAGAAGAUUGGCAAAGGCUCAAAUGGCUGAGAAAGACACUGAGGCUUCAAGAAAUAAGAAAGAUAAGAGACAGAUGUUAAUGGGACAGUACGAUAUUGGAGAAUUCCCAGAAACAACAAUACAGACUCAUACACAACAACAAGUUCCUCAGAAUGGACCUCCAUGGCAAGUACCAAACAGAGGAGCAUGGGGAGGGGGUAACAACCGCUACAGAAAUUAUGAAAGAGCUCCGCCACAGGGAUGCUUUAAUUGUGGAAGCGCAUCUCACUGGGUCAAAGAUUGCCACCAGUAUGGGCAACAAGGAGGAGGAAACCCCUACCAAGGAGGAGGAAACCCCUACCAAGGAGGAGGAAACUCCUAUCAAGAAAGAGGAGGAUUCCCUAACAGUAGAGGAGGAGGACAUCCCACCUAUGGAAGAGGAGGAAGAGGACAGCAAGGUCCUGCAGGAGGGAGAGGACAGCAAAGUUUUGGUAGAGGAAGAGGAAGAAAUCCUCCCAACACUCACCAAAUGCCACUCUCUGCAUGGGAACAUUCCCAGGAAUGGGAUGGUUCCUCACAAUGAAGAUGCCCAGAGGAUCCAACUACAGGUGAAGCUAUUCCAGUUCAGAAUGAACCAAUGGUCACCUGUACGAUAGAAGGAGAAAAAAUGGAACUGAUGGUGGACACAGGAGCAACAGCGUCCUGUAUAACUUCCUUGAAAGGAAAAACACCACCUCUCUCUACAAAGACCCUUCGAACCGUUGGAUACUCGGGAAGAACAGAAGAACAAAAGUAUACCAUACCAUUGGUCACUGUACUUGGUAAACAAUCCCUGCUUCACCCUUUCCUCUUCUCCCCAAAGUGUCCUGUAAACCUGAUGGGUAGAGACCUGCUGGUUAAAACUGGAGCACGAAUUCUAUGU
This 1335-nucleotide long non-coding RNA is filed under the name Cottoperca gobio. RNAcentral's name for it is "lncRNA (ENSCGOG00000008197.1)". The record is from RNAcentral. Lineage: Eukaryota; Metazoa; Chordata; Actinopteri; Perciformes; Bovichtidae.